UUUCAGAGUAAUAAAUCACGAAGCAAUUGAUGCGCUUAACAGGGAACAGUUGACGUGCAAACCUACUUUUAACAACCAAAAAUUGCAUUAGAAUUUGAAUAUGAUGAAUUAAAAUCAACAAAAAGUGUGCUAGGCAUUCAUUAUGCAAAACUGAUGAGCAAGUUCAUUUCUAGUUCUCACUUUUGUAUAUAAUCUCAGCAAAUUUCUAAGAUACAUCAUAGGAUAACCACAUUGUUGAACUCAAUCUCACUCACACAAUUCUAGCUCUACCUCAAUUCAAAACUCUCAAAACCUUAAUAAACCAUUGGUAUCAUAAAAAUAUGAAAAUGAACAUUACAACACAUGAAGUUUAAUUAAAACUAAAGUGACAAUGAAUACAUUGUGUAGUUCAGCAUCCUUUGUAAAUGCAAAUACAAGUGAAUAAACAAAUUAAGUAAAAAGACUAGACAUUGUCGUUCAAAUUCAAAAGUAACAAUUAAUCAUCUAAACUAGUACUUUCGUUAUAGUAGACCUCUAGCAAUCAUUUCAUGUAGAAGUUUCUCUGCUUUUCGUUCUCAUCAUUUUUAAAAAGAGCGUGGAUAAUUGUUUCUUAAGUUACUACAUUAGGAAUGCAACCAUUGUCUUCCAUUUUUGACAACAGAGUCAGAGCUUCAUAAUAGUAAAUGCAAAUAUAACAAAGUAGGCUAUUGUUAUUUGUUUUCAUCAUGUCUUAGUUUUGCCUCAAAAAGUAAAUGCAAAUAAUAUGUAUGCAGACGUGUAGAUAACCAAUUUUGCCAAUAUACAGAACUUGUAUAGACUUAUUGCUUCGGUCAAAUACCACUUUUGGUCCUUUUAGUUUGACAAAAUUCCCAAGUUAGUCCUUUAAGUUUCAAAAGUUUCAAACAGGUGCUUUUAGUUUGACAGAAUUCCCAAUUUAGUCUUUAAGUUUCAAAAGUUUCAAACUAAAAUGACCUAUUUGAAAUUUUUGAAACGGUGAUGGUGAAAUAGUUUAUCAACUAAAAGGACCAACUUGGGAAUUCUGUCAAACUAAAAAGACCUAAUUGAAACUUUCGAAACUUAAAGGACUAACUUGGAAAUUCUGUCAAACUAAAAGGACCUAAUUGAAACUUUCGAAACUUAAAGGACUAACUUGGGAAUUAUAUCAAACAAAAAGGACCAAAAGUGGUAUUUGGCCUAUUGCUUCAUUUCAACACUCAAUAAAUCAUAUAAAAAAAAAACCAUAUACAAGAACAAUAUCAACUUUCAAAGCUCCUACCUUCUCAGAUUGGUUUUUUAUUUGACUCACUAAAAGUGAUCGACACUACAUUGCAAAGAUAAUGGACAACUACGUGAAGAAAUUCAAACUACCAAUAUGUGCAUUGAAACUCCAACCUCUUAUUCUGUUAAAAAUAUAUUUGCAAACUACUUUUUAAGCACAGAAAUUUGGUAUUAAAUGUGAUAAAUAAUCAAUCUACUAAUAACUAAAACUUAUUCAUCAUGACUAUGAAAAAAUCACUCACUAACAAUCAAUGUCCAUUAUGAUAUUCUUCCAGCCAGCCUAUUUUUUUUUUUUGCAAAAUCAACCACUCCUUGGUUCUGCUUCACUGAAUAUACUACAUCAAACUCUUCAUUUAGAAAUGAAGCUUGUAGCAUACGACAAAACUUAAUCCUCAUGUGAAAAUAUUCACCUCUACUGAAAAUGCAGGCUAGAGACAUA
This 1696-nucleotide long non-coding RNA is filed under the name Medicago truncatula (barrel medic). RNAcentral's name for it is "long non-coding RNA (MTRU_LNC007548)". The record is from RNAcentral. Lineage: Eukaryota; Viridiplantae; Streptophyta; Magnoliopsida; Fabales; Fabaceae.